UAAUGCUUGGGAACUUGCCUUUGCGAGGGGGAUAACAGUUGGAAACGACUGCUAAUACCGCAUAAUGUUUACGGACCAAACGGGGCUUAGGCUCCGGCGCAAAGAGAGGCCCAAGUGAGAUUAGCUAGUUGGUAAGGUAAAGGCUUACCAAGGCAACGAUCUCUAGCUGUUCUGAGAGGAAGAUCAGCCACACUGGAACUGAGACACGGUCCAGACUCCUACGGGAGGCAGCAGUGGGGAAUAUUGCACAAUGGGGGAAACCCUGAUGCAGCCAUGCCGCGUGUGUGAAGAAGGCCUUCGGGUUGUAAAGCACUUUCAGUUGUGAGGAAAAGUUAGUAGUUAAUACCUGCUAGCCGUGACGUUAACAACAGAAGAAGCACCGGCUAACUCCGUGCCAGCAGCCGCGGUAAUACGGAGGGUGCGAGCGUUAAUCGGAAUUACUGGGCGUAAAGCGCACGCAGGCGGUUUGUUAAGCUAGAUGUGAAAGCCCCGGGCUCAACCUGGGAUGGUCAUUUAGAACUGGCAGACUAGAGUCUUGGAGAGGGGAGUGGAAUUCCAGGUGUAGCGGUGAAAUGCGUAGAUAUCUGGAGGAACAUCAGUGGCGAAGGCGACUCCCUGGC
This 620-nucleotide ribosomal RNA is filed under the name uncultured Gammaproteobacteria bacterium. RNAcentral's name for it is "bacterial SSU rRNA". It matches the Rfam family "Bacterial small subunit ribosomal RNA", at positions 111 to 733 of the family's 1533-position model. The record is from RNAcentral. Lineage: Bacteria; Pseudomonadati; Pseudomonadota; Gammaproteobacteria.